Molecule: long non-coding RNA, 729 nt
Filed under: Marmota monax (woodchuck)
Lineage: Eukaryota; Metazoa; Chordata; Mammalia; Rodentia; Sciuridae
Source: RNAcentral
CAAAGCCAGCCUCAGCAACUUAGUGAGACCCUAAGAAACUCAGCGAGAUCUUGUCUCUAAAUAAAAAUUCAAAAAGGGCUGGGGAUGUGGCUUAAUGGUUAAGCACCCCUGGGUUCAAUCCCUAGUACCCUCCCCCCAAAAAAGAUGGAAGAACAUCCAUGUCGUCAUCUCAGUGGCUGCAGAAAAAGCUAUUCACAGAACCCAACAUCAGGCACAUUUAGAAAAACACUCCGAGAACCAAGAUCAGAAGGGAGCUUCCUCCGCUGCCAAGGGACAUCCGCAGAACCCCUGAAACAGCCCAGACAGCAAGAGGAGUCUCUUCUGCAGAAGUGGUGCAGGAGUCCCUCCUGUUCCCAGCCAUGGGCAGCACUCACCUGGGCCAAGGGGCAAAGACAGACGCGCCCAGAGACGUGGGAAGGAAGAAACAGACGUGUUCCCUGGGAAGGACAUGGAAGACCUACAGCCGAACACUUAGUGCAACGAGACGCUAACAAGAUGGUACACACACAGAUGAUGUCUGUACUCUAGCAACAAGUGUGUCACCUAGAAAUGACACUGUGACAAUAGCAACAAAAGUAUGGACUUAAAAUAAAUCCAAAAAGGAGAAUAGGCUCUUUUGAGGAGAAAAACUUUGUGAAAAUCAAUGAGAAAGCUUGUGAUUGUCCAGACACCGAUCAAUGCACCAGAAGCCUCCACAUUCUAGAGGCUGCUUCCCCUCCGCUACCUGCA